This 91-nucleotide small RNA is filed under the name Sinorhizobium meliloti 2011. RNAcentral describes it as "putative ncRNA". The record is from RNAcentral. Lineage: Bacteria; Pseudomonadati; Pseudomonadota; Alphaproteobacteria; Hyphomicrobiales; Rhizobiaceae.
GGAAGCACUGCGCUAUGGAUAAGCAUUGAUCAGCAAUCCGCACUCCGGCACUCACAAUGGACGGCUUUGGGUGGCAUUGCUAUGUGGUGCC